GAGUGCUUAGAAGAACCUUAUGGCGGGACCUCAGGCUUCGACAUCUGUCCAGCUGCAUCGAUACCUUCCAUUAAACCAGUCCGCACAGAAUCUCCCCCUAAUUUUAUAGUCAACACUCAACAAACGUGUACGUCGGCUUAGAUAUUUUCUUCUCUCUCUCCACACACGACGGUGGUUUUUUUAAUCGAAAACAAAUACUUGACUGAUGAUCCUUCACGCUGAGCGCACUGUAUUCGAAUCGUUUCCGUACGCUUGCCCUAGAUCUUAUUCAUGGCCUCUUCAUGUAUAAUGCGCAUCUUCGAACGAUAUUGAAGUUUUUCUCUGGUUUUUUAAACGACGAUGCACGACUCUUGCUUUCUUCGUUUCUAGCUGAUUUAUGUGCUUCAAAUUUGAUGUAUUUUCUCGCCUUUGUUUUUCAUGCAGUUUGCAGUUUUUUCUCUCCGUGACUCGCUGUACGGUAGACAUUUUCGACGAUGAAUCUGUGAAACUGUUUUCAGGAGGUGACCUCAUACAGGGUUUAAGACCAUUCUUUGGGCCCAUGAUAACUUAGUAGUUAGAGUCAAGUUGUAAUUUAAUACUGAAAGCUGUGCUGUAAAGUGAUUCUAUAAUAUUGAAAAAAUGAUUAGUGUUUUCUUUAGAAUUGUGAUGUGAAAUAUUGACAUAGACAAAUCCUACCUGUACCUUAGGUUGAACAGUCAGUGGCAAAUGUUAACUUUUUUUAUGAAUAAAGAAUUUGUUUAAUAAUAUAGUUAUAGAUUCCAUUUA
This is a long non-coding RNA of Mangifera indica (mango), 765 nucleotides long. RefSeq lists it as uncharacterized. NCBI's taxonomy places the organism in Eukaryota, Viridiplantae, Streptophyta, Magnoliopsida, Sapindales, Anacardiaceae. The transcript has 2 exons. The record is from RefSeq and is a predicted model, not a curated record.